AAUGAACGCUGGCGGCAUGCCUUACACAUGCAAGUCGAACGGCAGCAUGACCUACCUUGCUAUGUUGAUGUCGCGUGGCGCACGUGUGUGUCAUGCAUCUGAACGUGCCUUUUAGUUGGGGAUAACGUAGCGAAAGUUACGCUAAUACCGCAUAUUCUCUGAGCCGGAAAGCAGAGGACCUUCGGGCCUUGCGCUAGACGAUCGUCCGAUGUCGGAUUAGCUAGUUGGUGAGGUAAAGGCUAACCAAGGCAACGAUCCAUAACGGGUCUGAGAGGUGGGAGCGGCACACUUGGAAUGAGAAAAGGGCCAGAAUCCUAAGGGAGGGAGGAGUGGGGAAUUUUGGACAAUGGGCGCAAGCCUGAUCCAGGCAUGGCGCGGGAGUGAAGAAGGCCUUCGGGUUGUAAAGAUCUUUUGGCUGGGAAGAAAUAGAACCGUAAAAUACAGGGUGUGGAUGAAGGUACCAGAAUAAGAAGCACAGGCUAAAUAAGUG
Molecule: ribosomal RNA, 490 nt
Filed under: uncultured bacterium
Lineage: Bacteria
Description: partial 16S ribosomal RNA
Rfam family: Bacterial small subunit ribosomal RNA
Source: RNAcentral